RNAcentral lists this long non-coding RNA (584 nucleotides) under Hordeum vulgare. RNAcentral describes it as "long non-coding RNA (HVUL_LNC002334)". The record is from RNAcentral. Lineage: Eukaryota; Viridiplantae; Streptophyta; Magnoliopsida; Poales; Poaceae.
AAAAAAAACUAUACUCGUCGUCGACCUGUUCGUCUUCGACCCCCUCCGACGAGCCUCCUGCCCGGAACCAUCGCAAAUGCGACGGCGGCCGGCCGCAGCCUCCCCUCCGCCGCCUCAUCCCUCCCCCGGCAACACUUAUAAACAAAAAGUUCUCGCCGGAUUCCUGCUCCGAUGCCUCCUCUUGGCGCGGAGACGGCGAGGGCGCAGAUCGAUCACCGGCGACCGGAGACGGGGGAUGAGGAUAUGGAGCUAGCGCGCGCAGGAGGCGAGCGGGAUACGCUCCCGUCCUUCCAUCGCCGUGUGGAGACGCGCUCGCGGCGGUGUGAGGCGCCGGCGUCCACACGGGUAAGAGGAACUGUGCAUCCUGCAGUACAUUGCAUCUCUUCAGUCCCACAUCGGUAGUUGAGUGCGAUUUUCACGGAUUUAUAACUGUAGGCUUCAGCAGGAGUGUCAUCAAGUAGGAAUACAGGGAGAUAGUGGUAUAGGUGUAGGAAUACUUUUUUUUCCUCCAUAGAUUCAGUCUGGUUUUUGCCACCAAAGGUUGAUCGAAAAGCAGUACUUUCUCUGUCCCAAAAUAAAUGUCG